AUGGGAUCCGGCCUCAAGCAGCUCAUCCGGCAGCUCGCGGAGAACGACCCCAGCCGCUACGGCACCCUGCCCACCGCCAAGGCUGCGGUUGCCGCACUCCCUGAUGUCGCCGUCGAUGGGGGCGCCCAGCACGUCCUCCAAAAGGACUGCAUCCUGCCAUGGCUUGACCUCCACAGCUCCUCCCUGUCUGCCGUCAUCUAUGACCACCAGCGCCAGGCAGCUGCCGCUGCGGUAGCGGCACCUGCGUCCCCGGGUGGCGGCCCUUCGCCUAGGGUCAUGGUGAGGAGGUUCAGGAUCUUGUUGCCGUGGCCUCUCAGGGCCGCUUUUGGAGCUCAGCAGGCGGAGAGCAGCGACCAGGACGCUGCUGGCUAUGGCGACUACAAAAACGAUGGGAAUGCGAGCGGUCGCUCGUAUGAUGAUCUCGACUGA
Molecule: ribosomal RNA, 429 nt
Filed under: Triticum aestivum (bread wheat)
Lineage: Eukaryota; Viridiplantae; Streptophyta; Magnoliopsida; Poales; Poaceae
Description: partial small subunit ribosomal RNA
Source: RNAcentral